AUAUGCCAUUUUUGCUUAGACAACAGAUAUUAAUCAUUAACAAACUACAGUGCUUGGGAAAAUGAGGUAAGUCAAUAACCAAGACACUAGAUUCAGUCACGGUGCAUGUCAUAAGUGUAGACCAAUUUUCAGGCUUUGUUUUAGUAAUGACUAAUAAAACAAACAAAAGACACUAUAUUCUUAACUAUCCAUAACUAAAAAGCAAACAACUAACUAACUACAAUAUCAAAAAAAGCCAAAAUAUUUCUAAACACAGCCGUCUGGGGCAAAGACGUCACGUGACGUGUUGCACGUUUUCCGCACAUACUCAACUCACGUGUACCCAAGCAGCCAGCGGCGCAAACACAAUGGACGGUGACGAGGGAUUGGCAGACCUAAACUGGAAAUACAGUCACUACUUCGAGUUUCUCUAAAGAGGACACUAUUAAGGUUAUGCAGACGUUUGACUCCCAUUCCAGUACACAGUGCAGACAAAAAAAGGUUGUGCUUCGAGCAGAAGUAGGGGCUGGUUUCAAGGAGAAUGACAACCACACAAGAUCCCAUACACUGCCACCAGAAGAAUAAAAUCCAUUAGGAUAAAACUUUGCUAGAUUUUAUGCGCAAGGUAAUAAAAACCUGGACUAUUGAGCAAACAGUAGAGGAGGAGAAUUUGGAGGAAAAAAGUGCAAGUGUGGGAGGCCCAUUUGUCCAUGCAUUUUUAUCUCAUGUUUUAUGUAAAUAAAUUAUUUUUCUGUCAAAAGCACUUUCUCAGUGUUGUUCUAUGUUCAGAUGUUUAAGAAUUUCACAAAAGAAAAAAAAAUAUUGAUGUGUCUGCUUUCACAAAAAGGCCGUUUUCAUUUUUUUUCCUCCAUAAACAGAUUUGGUUGAAAGUAGCCUAUAUUUGACUGCUGACUACUAAAGAACGGUAUAAGCUAUAGACAAACCUUUUUGUAUGAUGAAAGAGGGUCUGAUCUUUCUUUUCGUGGUUUUGGUGUUUACAUCGUCAUAGUACACAAUAUUCUGUGGGGCUUGAAUAAUCUGUGAAAUUGCUCGAAAAUGCCUGGCAGUCUCGGGGUUCCCUGCUCAGGAAACAGCGGGCAGUGAAUGA
Long non-coding RNA from Phyllopteryx taeniolatus (common seadragon), 1087 nucleotides. RefSeq lists it as uncharacterized. Lineage: Eukaryota; Metazoa; Chordata; Actinopteri; Syngnathiformes; Syngnathidae. The record is from RefSeq and is a predicted model, not a curated record. The transcript is spliced from 3 exons.